Molecule: non-coding RNA, 2385 nt
Organism: Manis javanica (Malayan pangolin)
Lineage: Eukaryota; Metazoa; Chordata; Mammalia; Pholidota; Manidae
Source: RefSeq, a predicted model, not a curated record
CGAAAUGAGCAUGUCCCAGUUUAAAGACUUGGAGACAGGGUGGUUUGAGAGGUGGGCUGGGACUGGGUGAGGAGUGUGAAAUACCGAAUGAUAAAUUCUCACUUGGUGGCUACGAAUUUAGGGAAAUUUAGGUGUUGAGGGAGCAUGGAAGACCCAAGCGAGUACAAAAUGCGUGCAGUAAUGGAGCAAUAGAAUGAUAAAAACCAAAGGUUGCCCCGUUGCCCCACUUUUGUUCAGCGUCUUUGUUUACAAAGCACUUUAAUACUCUUAGAACAAUCCUGAGAGGCAGCAGGAGAAGUCAUGGACAGGGGGCUGCUGUUCCUCAGUCUUCUUUGCUGGCUCCUCCUCUCCCAGACCUUUCAACGUUGGAGGGUUCCAGAUAUCAGAGAUUCUGGGCCUCUUCCCUCCUGUAUCUUCAUUCUCUCCCUAGAGAAAGAAACAGCCCUUUUCAUGGAAUCAAUUGUUUGCCAAAGUUCUCUGGCUGUCAGAGAAAAGCGUUGGUGCUCUUGGUGCCUCCAUUGUAUUAAGGGUGCCACCGUGGACCUAGGAUCUCAGACGGGUGGCCCUGUCUUGGCUCGCAAGAUCAGAAGAUGGGGAGUCUAUCUGGAGAACCCUGGAUAAGCUUUAAACAGGACCAGAGCCAAUCAGAGUUGGAGAGGCAUGGGCUGGCAGGGAGGAAAGAAACAAAAACAUCACUAAGAUACAUCCUGGAAAAAGGAAACAGCCUUAUGGAGAAAAGACAGCCUAAUGCAUGGGAGCUAAAUUUCCAUUUCUCUGGGCAGUUCAGGAAGUUCAGUGGAUCCUUAAUGAGCAUUCAUUUCCUGCCACCAAGUAAGUCACACUGGUUCUUUAUUUGGUUCUUUUCUUUGUAAUUGGAAUGAACUUGUAUUACAUUUCCAACUCCUUAUCUUUGGGAAUAAUUUUAACUUCUAGUUCAUGGGCUCCAUCAAAGAGAUUAACAUUGUGAAGCCUUCAGUGGGGCAAGAGACUUGGUUGGGCUCUAGUAGAGCUUAGGAAGAACUUACAGAAAUUAUGCUAUAGCAAAAAAUGUUUUUAAUGACAUAUUUUUUCCAAUUAUGAUAUUAAAGCAUGUUUCUUGUGGAAAAUCAGAGGAUAUAGACAAGUAAAUAAAGCCAAGAAUUCUCCCACUAUUAGGAUUCUACUUUAUUUCUUCCUCUUCCUCCCCCUCUUCUUUCUUCUCCUACUGUUCCUCUACUACUUCUUCUCCCUGCCCUACCCCCUUCCUCCUCUUCCUUGUUUUUUUAUUGACCAUGCUUCCGUGGAUAAUACUGGGCUCAUGUUGCAUACACAAAUUUGCAUUUUGUUUUUCACUUAAUAUUUGGUUACCAUUUUCACAUUAUUAAAUAUUCUUGAAAAUUUUGCUACCUAAUGUUUCAUGUUCUUCCAUCAUAUGGGAUGUAUUCAGUUUGAACUGCUGUGAUAAAGCCUAAGGAAUUCUAGAAAUAGGAUGAAUGGUGAUAAUAAAAGUAUUUCCUUCAUGAAGUUGAUGAAAGGAAAAUGAAAUAAGUUAAACAACUUAUAACAGUGUUUGGUACACAGCAAGCAUUCAGUCAAUGUUAGGUAUGAUUAUUGUAAAUAUAUUCUACUUGAUAAAUACUAACAAAUAGUCUUCCAGAAAACUCCUUUUUCACUCUUAACAUAAACAUGUCAUCUGAUAUUUAAAUAGUAAUUGAAAAUAUUGUGAACCACAACACUAGGCUUUUUGAAUGACGUCUGGAGUAAGAGAUGGGGUCUUGGCCAAAAGGAGUAAAGAAAUUAGCAGUAGACCUCCCAAAGACUGGGCUAAAGGGGUGAGUACUAUCAUUUCUUGCAGAAAGGAAUGGUGAGGGCAGUGUUACCCUGGAAUCUAAUGGGUCUUUUGGAAGAUGGACCAGGGCUCAUGCUGGGGUUGUGCAUGUGUCUACCUGCAUGUGUGUGCAUGUGUGAUUGUACCUGUGUGUCAUGUUGAAGGGAUAGAGGGAAAGGGUUGCAAGUCUCUUGUGAUGCCUAACAUCCUGUGCUGGGAGGGCCCAGCAGAUCAAGUUUGGUGCUGUGCAUCCAGGAUCAGUCACAGAUCAUUGUGAGCAGAUGGCAGGCCAGCUGCUUCCCGGAUACCUGGACUGUUCAAUUGUGGAGAACAUAAAAGGUGGAGAGCACCUCUUCUGUCAGAGGGGUUAAAAGGAGCAAAGCAAAGAGAAGCCUGGAGCUCCAAACUUAAGGACCAUCAUUGAGAUAGUAAAUUUCAGAGUGAAACUGGAAUUUAGGGAAGCAGCAAAAAGAGCAAUCUAAGAGAGCACAGGUGGACGCUGCACGUCCAGAGAACCACACUCUCAACUGCAUCUGUGUCACCUAGAGGGGAAGGAGGUGCUCUGACUUGGUCCUCUC